RNAcentral lists this ribosomal RNA (141 nucleotides) under uncultured bacterium. RNAcentral's name for it is "partial 16S ribosomal RNA". It matches the Rfam family "Bacterial small subunit ribosomal RNA", at positions 354 to 509 of the family's 1533-position model. The record is from RNAcentral.
UGGGGGAGUAUUGCACAAUGGGGGAAACCCGUGAUGCAGCGACGCCGCGUGGGCGAAGAAGUAUUUCGGUAUGUAAAGCCCUAUCAGCAGGGAAGAAGAAAUGACGGUACCUGAGUAAGAAGCACCGGCUAAAUACGUGCC